RNAcentral lists this ribosomal RNA (545 nucleotides) under uncultured Aeromonas sp. Its description in RNAcentral is "partial 16S ribosomal RNA". Lineage: Bacteria; Pseudomonadati; Pseudomonadota; Gammaproteobacteria; Aeromonadales; Aeromonadaceae. The record is from RNAcentral.
GUAGCCCUGCACGCAUCCUGAUCCAGCAAUGCCGCGUGAUUGAUGAAGGGUUUUCGGGCUUCAACUCUUUUUCAGGGACGAUCUCCUGCCUGCUCAUACCCCUUGCCCUGACCGUAAUUAACAAAAGCCCCCGCUCAAUCCUGCCCCGCCCCGGUAACGACCGGUUCAAAACUAUUUCCCCCCUGGUAAAACGGGGGGGGGUCCGGUAAUAAGAACUAAAAAAAAAAAUGCCUUCUCCAGUGGUGGGGGCGCUCUUUUACAGAGCCCCCUCCAUUUCCGCCCUGCGUUUAAUAAAAAAACCGGUAAGCCCAAAUUUGUCCUCCGCUAUUCUCUUAAUUUUGCCUUAACGGCCCCAUCCCCCCCCCUCGUUGAUACAACAGCCACUUAGGGGAGUGGUUUUUGCGGGUGUACCCCCCCGCGACGGUCUCUCAUGACAUGCCCCCGUGUGGCAGCGGCCGGGGGGGGGGGUUUAUCCAAGUACUAUAAAUUUGUAAUGUGAAACGCCCCGGGCUUCGCUUUUAUUCCUGUCUUCUCCUCCCCUCAAC